This 253-nucleotide ribosomal RNA is filed under the name uncultured bacterium. Its description in RNAcentral is "partial 16S ribosomal RNA". It matches the Rfam family "Bacterial small subunit ribosomal RNA", at positions 524 to 776 of the family's 1533-position model. The record is from RNAcentral.
UACAUAGGUCUCAAGCGUUGUUCGGAUUCAUUGGGCGUAAAGGGUGCGUAGGCGGCGCGGUAAGUCGGGUGUGAAAUCUCGGGGCUUAACUCCGAAACUGCAUUCGAUACUGCCGUGCUUGAGGACUGGAGAGGAGACUGGAAUUUACGGUGUAGCGGUGAAAUGCGUAGAUAUCGUAAGGAAGACCAGUGGCAAAGGCGGGUCUCUGGACAGUUCCUGACGCUGAGGCACGAAGGCCAGGGGAGCAAACGGG